AUGCCCUCGAAUCCCCUCUGUUCUUCUCGCCGUCUCGCUUCUCCUCACGCCACUCGUAGCCGCCGCCUCGCUGCUUUGCAUAUCGCCGGAACCGAAGUUCUUCGUCGUCGUUUCCGUCGCCAGUGGCACACCCGAGCCCUCAUUUUCUUCGUCAACCUUCUUAUCUCAUCGAGGCGCACCAUUUUGACACCUUUUUGCCGCGUAGGUCACGCCGGAGACGACGCCCCGACGACCUCGAGCCCCGCCGGAGCACCGGAGCGCCGCCGCCCGUCCCGACACCGCCGACGCCCCGCGCCACCACCAACCGAACGCCCGCGUCACGCUCGACCUCGCCAUCUACUUCCCCAACGCCGGAGCCGCCGCCCCGUUCGACGCCGAGCCACCUUGCCGUCAUCUUCUUCGCCGCCGAUGCCGUUGGCACGCUAUUGUCUGGAGUGCGAAGCUGAAUACUAUCAUUCUCUAGAGUUGAACCACCAGUAUCAAGAUUUAUCCGACGACGAUUAA
This 504-nucleotide ribosomal RNA is filed under the name Triticum aestivum (bread wheat). RNAcentral describes it as "partial small subunit ribosomal RNA". The record is from RNAcentral. Lineage: Eukaryota; Viridiplantae; Streptophyta; Magnoliopsida; Poales; Poaceae.